GCCAGGUGUGGUGGUGCACACCUGCAGUCUCAGCUGCUUGGGAGGCUGAGGCAGGAGGAUUGAAAGUUCCAGGCCAGCCUGGGCAAUCCAGUGAGACUGCCUCAA
This 105-nucleotide small RNA is filed under the name Marmota monax (woodchuck). Lineage: Eukaryota; Metazoa; Chordata; Mammalia; Rodentia; Sciuridae. The record is from RNAcentral.